Bubalus bubalis (water buffalo) is the source of this 1603-nucleotide non-coding RNA. The record is from the annotation of a RefSeq genome assembly. NCBI's taxonomy places the organism in Eukaryota, Metazoa, Chordata, Mammalia, Artiodactyla, Bovidae.
AGGGAUUGCUUGAUCAUUGGCUGAGAAGGUCCUAGCAACAACACAGCGAUAUCUGCACUGGUUGUAAGUCUUUACUAACAGCUGUUGCCUCUGUUCUCUGGAGCCUCCUUAAGCCAAGGCUCAGACUCAAGCCUGAACUCUGAGCCCACGAUCCUGGUUUGUCCCUGAAGUAUGAGGCUGGUGACUGGAGUAACAGUGUUUCUGACCUUGGGAACUGUGAUUGAUGCUAAGACCACCCAGCCCAGCUCCAUGGAUUAUACUGAAGGAGAGGAUGUAACCCUGCCUUGUAACCACUCUACCAUUGGUAGAAAUGAGUAUAUACAUUGGUAUCAACAAAAUCCCAAUCAGAGUCCACAGUAUGUCAUUCAUGGCUUACGAGGCACAGUGAACAGCAGCACGGUCUCUCUGACCAUAGCUUCAGACAGAAAGUCCAGCACCUUGGUCCUGCCCCAGGUCACCCUGAGAGACGCCGCUGUGUACUACUGCGUCCUGAGAGAGGCACACUGGGACAGACGGGGCUGCACCUGUGCAGUAUCUCUCUUGUGGGAAGAAGGGGGGACACAGUGGGGGAGCAGUCACUAGAGCAAAUCUAGAGUUAUCUAGAAGGAGAGUCAGAGAGCAGUAAGAAAUGAGGAAAAUGAAGGGAAGGAGAAGGUAAGAAGAAGGGUAAAGAAAAGAAGAAAAGGACAAGGAAGAAGUGCAUCAUUCGUUGAUGUGGCUGAGAAGAAUUUUGGGAAUUAUGGGAAUACUAAGAAUCCCAAUUGCAACAUAGAAAUAAAGUGAGAAGCAUUAGCAAUUUUUCAUGGUUCUUUCUCAUGUCAAUAAAAUGUUGGUUCCAGUGUGUUAGUCUCAACCUAAAAGUGAGAAGAAUACAAAUAAUUCUCCUGUUCCAAAGUUUUCUUUCAUGUCUGACUCUUUGAGACCUCAAGAACUGUAGCCUGCCAGGCUCCUCUGUCCUUGGGAUUUUCCAGGGAAGACUACUGGAGUGGGUUGCCAUUUCCUUUUCCAGAUCUUCCAGAUCCAGGGAUCAAAUCUGUUCUCCUUUGUCUCCUGCAUUGUAGGAGGAUUGUUUACCACUGUGCCACCUGGGAAGUGCUCCAAUUCAUUCUUUAUAACACCUGUGUAGUACUCUGAAACGUUCUAUUAUUAAUUAUGUUUACCUUAAUAAGUAUUUGUUUCUAUUACUGUGCUAUCCUUAAGAGUGUUGUCUUUAUACAACUUUGUAGAUUUACUUUUGUAUAUAUGAGGACAUGUCUAUUGUAAUGAAAUUUCUGAACUGGAAUGGCUAUUUUCAAAACAAGGUGCAUUUAAUUUUUUUUUUUUUUAUAAAGUGACAACUUUCCAUUCAAAUGGUAUAAACAAUUAUACUUCAACCAACAGGGAGUGAGAAGGUGUACUUCGCAUCCUCUAAAAAUUGAGAAUUACCAGCCUUUUUCAUUUUAACAAUCCAAAUGUACUUUAUCUAUAGACAUCUUACUGAUCCUAGUGCUUUCGAGCAAUGUUUUCUCUGUAUAUUGGCACUCUGUCAUCAACCUUGUUCAUAUGCUUGUUCCUAUCUUUUGACCAUUUUUUCCAUUAACUUAGCUUUAUUUCUGUUUGCUAG